GAACAACAGGGAUUGCCCUAGUAACGGCGAGUGAAGCGGCAACAGCUCAAAUUUGAAAUCUGGCUUCGGCCCGAGUUGUAAUUUGUAGAGGAAGAUUUAGGCGCGGCACCUUCUGAGUCCCCUGGAACGGGGCGCCAUAGAGGGUGAGAGCCCCGUAUAGUUGGAUGCCUAGCCUGUGUAAAUCUCCUUCGACGAGUCGAGUAGUUUGGGAAUGCUGCUCAAAAUGGGAGGUAAAUUUCUUCUAAAGCUAAAUAUUGGCCAGAGACCGAUAGCGCACAAGUAGAGUGAUCGAAAGAUGAAAAGCACUUUGAAAAGAGGGUUAAAUAGCACGUGAAAUUGUUGAAAGGGAAGCGCUUGUGACCAGACUUGCGCCGGGCGGAUCAUCCGGUGUUCUCACCGGUGCACUCCGCCCGGCUCAGGCCAGCAUCGGUUCUCGUGGGGGGAUAAAGGCCCUGGGAACGUAGCUCCUCCGGGAGUGUUAUAGCCCAGGGUGUAAUGCCCUCGCGGGGACCGAGGUUCGCGCAUCUGCAAGGAUGCUGGCGUAAUGGUCAUCAGCGACCCGUCUUGAAACACGGACCAAGGAGUCAAGGUUUUGCGCGAGUGUUUGGGUGUAAAACCCGCACGCGUAAUGAAAGUGAACGUAGGUGAGAGCUUCGGCGCAUCAUCGACCGAUCCUGAUGUAUUCGGAUGGAUUUUGAGUAGGAGCGUUAAGCCUUGGACCCGAAAGAUGGUGAACUAUGCUUGGAUAGGGUGAAGCCAGAGGAAACUCUGGUGGAGGCUCGCAGCGGUUCUGACGUGCAAAUCGAUCGUCAAAUCUGAGCAUGGGGGCGAAAGA
This 835-nucleotide ribosomal RNA is filed under the name Collariella bostrychodes. RNAcentral's name for it is "eukaryotic LSU rRNA". It matches the Rfam family "Eukaryotic large subunit ribosomal RNA", at positions 56 to 930 of the family's 3401-position model. The record is from RNAcentral. Lineage: Eukaryota; Fungi; Ascomycota; Sordariomycetes; Sordariales; Chaetomiaceae.